This is a non-coding RNA of Pecten maximus, 72 nucleotides long. NCBI's taxonomy places the organism in Eukaryota, Metazoa, Mollusca, Bivalvia, Pectinida, Pectinidae. The record is from the annotation of a RefSeq genome assembly.
GAUCAGGUAGCUCAAUUGGUAGAACAUCCGGCUGGUGUUCGGAUGUCCUGGGUUCGAACCCCAGUCUGACCG